GUAAUCCGUGUUGUUUGCUUCUUCGUCAUCUUCGUUCAUCUUUGAUCGGCGAUGUGACGAUGCAGAUUCCGUAACGGUAAGCAUUGAGUUUAAUCGUCUUAAUACGUGAGCCCACUUCCUUCCGCUGAUUAGUUCAUCGGCGAAACCUUAUAAAUAUGCAGAGAUCUCUCCUCUGCGAAUCGCGCUCUCCAAUAUCUCUGUUCUACUCAUCUGAAUCAUAUUCAUCUUUGUUCUCAUCUCUAUUCUACUCAUCUUAAUCAUUCAUAUUCAUAUAUCAUAGCUUAUGUGGAUGGAUUUUCUCAUUGUGGAUGUUAACACGAGUCAUUUUUCUGUUUCCUUCUAUGUAUCAAUAGUUCUAGGUUUUUAUCAACCGUCGUACUGUUAUUAUUUCCGGGUGAGUCCUAGGCCGUUUUUGAAUUUUGAUAGUGUUUCCGCUUAACCUGAUCGUGUUGUAAGUUUUUUUUUUUACGAUUUCACAACAUCUUUUUAUGCCAUGCGCCAAAUUAGACUGAGAUGGAAACUUCCAUUUGCGUAAAGUUUUAAGUCUACAAACUUCAUAUCCUGUUUAUAUCUUUGGUAUCUUUGUUUCUAGAAAUUGAUGUUUCUCUUCAGAUGGCUUUGACUUGGUGUCAAUUGACUGAAUGGAAUAAGCAGUCUUCUGCGUAGGAGGUCAUGCACAGGACUCAAAGAGACAUGGAUGUUCAUGAAAGAAACAAUGAAGCACAUACUCCACUACUGCACGCACAUGUUCACAUGUAAGGCUUUGACCCACUGGGUGGCGUUGGUCCAUCAGCAGCGUCGAGCUCAAAGAUGGAGGUAGGCCAAUGAAGUCAAGAAUCUAACGUUUGUCACUUAGGAAGACUGCUAACGACGUUGACGAAUUUAUCAGAGUCAAAGAAAGGCAGCGUAACAUUUACCUCUGGAACAAGCAGCUAUAGAAUUCUGAAAAACAAAUUCAAUGCAACUCAGGAAGUGUUAAUCAGAUUGUGAAACGCAAAAUGUGAUGGUUGUGCUUCGGAAAUAUCAAGUAUACUCUUGAUAUUACUUGGUUUCAAAAUAUUAAGCUUAUGACCAUA
Long non-coding RNA from Raphanus sativus (radish), 1076 nucleotides. RefSeq lists it as uncharacterized. The record is from RefSeq and is a predicted model, not a curated record. NCBI's taxonomy places the organism in Eukaryota, Viridiplantae, Streptophyta, Magnoliopsida, Brassicales, Brassicaceae. The transcript has 4 exons.